This 254-nucleotide ribosomal RNA is filed under the name uncultured bacterium. RNAcentral describes it as "partial 16S ribosomal RNA". It matches the Rfam family "Bacterial small subunit ribosomal RNA", at positions 524 to 776 of the family's 1533-position model. The record is from RNAcentral.
UACGUAGGGCGCAAGCGUUGUCCGGAAUUAUUGGGCGUAAAGAGCUCGUAGGCGGUUUGUCGCGUCGGCUGUGAAAUCCUGGGGCUUAACUCCGGGCCUGCAGUCGAUACGGGCAGACUUGAGUGUGGUAGGGGAGACUGGAAUUCCGUGGUGUAGCGGUGAAAUGCGCAGAUAUCAGGAGGAACACCGGUGGCGAAGGCGGGUCUCUGGGCCAUUACUGACGCUGAGGAGCGAAAGCGUGGGGAGCGAACAGG